This 451-nucleotide ribosomal RNA is filed under the name uncultured bacterium. RNAcentral's name for it is "partial 16S ribosomal RNA". It matches the Rfam family "Bacterial small subunit ribosomal RNA", at positions 29 to 523 of the family's 1533-position model. The record is from RNAcentral.
AACGAACGCUGGCGGCAGGCUUAACACAUGCAAGUCGAACGGUUGUAGCAAUACAGCAGUGGCAGACGGGUGAGCAACACGUGGGAACCUUCAUAGGGGUACGGAACAACUCAGGGAAACUUGAGCUAAUACCGUAUACGUCCGUGAGUAGAAAGAUUUAUCGCUCAUAGACGGGCCCGCGUCGGAUUAGCUAGUUGGUGGUGUAACGGCCUACAAGGGCGACGAUCCGUAGCUGACCUUAGAGAAUGAACAGACGCUAUAGAACUGAGACACGUCGCAGAAUCCUACGCUAGGCAGCAGUGGGGAAUCUUGGACAGUGGGCGAAAGCCUGAUCCAGCCAUGCCGCGUGUUUGAAGAAGGUCUUCGGAUUGUAAAGCUCUUUUGCCAGGGACGAUAAUGGCGGUACCUGGAGAAUAAGCCCCGGCAAACUUCGUGCCAGCCGCCGCCGUAA